UGGGUUGUGGCUCAGUGGUAGAGCACUCGCCUAGCAUGUAUGAGGCCCUGGGUUCAAUCCUCAGCAUCACAU
Molecule: non-coding RNA, 72 nt
Organism: Ictidomys tridecemlineatus (thirteen-lined ground squirrel)
Lineage: Eukaryota; Metazoa; Chordata; Mammalia; Rodentia; Sciuridae
Source: Rfam